RNAcentral lists this long non-coding RNA (1182 nucleotides) under Olea europaea subsp. europaea. Lineage: Eukaryota; Viridiplantae; Streptophyta; Magnoliopsida; Lamiales; Oleaceae. The record is from RNAcentral.
CGGACACAUUAAGUGCUCAGUUUGUGCAAUUGGCCCUUAAUAUUUGACAUUUACAAAGUAGUCAAAUAAUUUUUUAGUCUGUAAUUUUAAGUUUUUAACCCAUAAAUUUUACAUAAUCAUGUCUUGCUCCCACUAAAUAUUGUUGUUGGGUUCGACUCUGUUUUGACUUUUUAAAAGUCAUGCCGAAUUGGUUCUUAUUGUGUUUAGAUGAGAAUCAUACUUAAGGGUCAUUGUAGAUCUUUUUAGUCGUAUUUCCUUAAACGUAAUGAGGGAAAGUGUCAAAAGAGGAAAAAUAGCCAUUCAAAAGUUCAUAGAUAAAGAAAGAGUAGAACAAGGAAAGAGUAUUUAUGUGAUAUAUAUUUUUAUUUAUUUAUUUGUCCUGGGUUGGUGAGUCCUGUAGCUGAAAGUACAGGCAAAAAUUUAAUUAGUAUAAAUUCUGAAAAUUGGGAUAUACAGUGCAAGAGGAAAUUAAAUGAAUAGCGUCUGAGAGGACCAUGAAAACACAUGGAAAAGAAACCCCAAUUCAGUUUUUUCCUCCGGUUCGAAGCUUUAAUUAUGCAAAGGGUGUCGGAGACACACUCAUUUCGCUUUUUGACUCUAAACUGAAGGGUUAAUGAUCAAUAAAGGCAUGAAAAGGUGAAAUGUGGGGUUGGAACUUGGAAGUGGGAUUCUUGAUGAGUGGGAGACAGAGAUAAAAGUGAAGGAUUAAAGUGUGUUGAUUUUGAUUUUAAAUGUAAAUUUACAAAAACUUGUCAAACAGUAUAACUGGGUUGAGGUUAAUAAUAAUAAUAAUAAUUGAGUUGAAGCUUUUCGUUUAACAAAAUAUGUUAAGGGUUUGUUUGGCAUGAGUUGAAGCUUUUCGCUUAACAAAAAAUGUUAAGGGUUUGUUUGACAUGACUUUGAGAAGUCAGAAGAUAGUUUUGAGAAUAAAAGUUGAUUUUAAUCCCUACCAAAUAGGAGUGUAAGCGGUCCGAUUUUACUGAUUUUGACAGAUUUUCAAACCAAACUAUUUAAACCAGGUUUGAGAAAAAUUCAAAUCUAACCCAAACCAUUUUGAAUGGUUUGAGAAAAAUUCAAACCUAAAUUUAACACUUUGGUCCGGUUUUAAACUGUCGAUUUCAUCAUAUAAUUUUUUGCAUGUCUAAUUUUAUGUCAUUAAUUUAAUAUAUAUUUAUAUCUUAC